Long non-coding RNA from Erpetoichthys calabaricus (reedfish), 410 nucleotides. RefSeq lists it as uncharacterized. Lineage: Eukaryota; Metazoa; Chordata; Cladistia; Polypteriformes; Polypteridae. The transcript has 3 exons. The record is from RefSeq and is a predicted model, not a curated record.
GGCGGGAUUCCCGCUUGACGACUGUGUCUUUGAUCCAGAAGGAGGCGGGCAUUCCAAGUGCGGCGAUGUCAGACGAGCGACAGCGUAGCUUUGCAACGUUCAGAUGGACACUUUGGACACAAACUUUGGCGCCGUGCUGAGCCAAAGUGUCUACGAAGUUAAACACCACAUCAUGUAUCUCAGCUGGAAACUAUUGGACUGCGAAACCAGACCAAAUACGAGAAAUCCUGCCUGUAUCCAAUUCCACUCCGAGGACGACACUUCCUGUCCCAGCCCCGAGGACGUUACUGCCUUUGAACCACCUAUAAAACCCCUCAUCCUCCAUACUUGAUCAGUUCUAUUCUGGACUCUAACCUGUACACAUUGUAUGCAAAAUUAAGCCUUUUGCAGCCAGGGAAACUAAAUGGGUG